RNAcentral lists this unclassified non-coding RNA (684 nucleotides) under Hevea brasiliensis (rubber tree). The record is from RNAcentral. Lineage: Eukaryota; Viridiplantae; Streptophyta; Magnoliopsida; Malpighiales; Euphorbiaceae.
GAGAUAAGUGUUACUUUCAAACAAAGUCUAUGUCCUUAUAUUCUGUGGAUAUUCAACUAUGUAUUUGAAUAUGGUUUGGGAUUAAACAGUGUACUACAAUGAAUGUGCAGUAUGGAGUUCUUUCACAUUAAAAGUAUUGCAUUUAUAAUGUAAUGCAUCAUGUGCAAUCAUUUGCUUUAAUUGUUAGUAAGUUAUGAAAACAGGUCUAUACCUGGUAGGUAAACUGUUCAUUCAUAAAUAAAGUCCAGCUCAACAAGUUUCACACUGCAGCAGCUGCACUAACGUUAUUUCUGAACCAAUAAUCUAAUAAAACAUUAUUACUGAAGUUACCCACAGUAACAUAGUCAAGCCAAAUAGGUUGGGGAGCUGAACAACUUUACAUAACGUUAAAUAUCUAACUUGGUGGAGCUCAUUCACUAAACACACAGUCGCCUUCAGUUUAAAAGAUUUAUCACCAUAAACUCUAACGCUCCUCUCUCCGCUGUGUGAACCGCUUCAUGUCAUGCCGCUCCCGUUAGCAUUGCCAUUACUGCUGGUAUGUUGCCUGGAGGUUAGCGGAGCUAAGCUAACCAGCCAGGUACAGAGACAAUGAUACCUGCUCAUCACUACUGACACGUAAAUAAAAGGCAGUACUUUACACACCACAGACACUUCUCCGUCAGGACAAUCAGCCGAACAACAAAC